UUGGAGGGCAAGUCUGGUGCCAGCAGCCGCGGUAAUUCCAGCUCCAAUAGCGUAUAUUAAAGUUGUUGCAGUUAAAAAGCUCGUAGUUGAAUUUUAGACCUGGCCAGGCGGUCCGUCUUUGGCGAGUACUGUCUUGUUGUCGGGUCUUCCUUCUGGUGAACCAGUAUGUCCUUUAUUGGGUGUGUUGGGGAGCCAGGACCAUUACCUUGAAAAAAUUAGAGUGUUUAAAGCGGGCUAUUGCUUGAAUAGAUUAGCAUGGAAUAAUAGAAUAGGACGUUGCGGUUCUAUUUUGUUGGUUUCUAGGACCACCGUAAUGAUUAAUAGGGAUAGUUGGGGGCAUUAGUAUUCAAUUGUCAGAGGUGAAAUUCUUGGAUUUAUUGAAGACUAACUAUUGCGAAAGCAUUUGCCAAGGAUGUUUUCAUUAAUCAAGAACGAAAGUUAGGGGAUCGAAGACGAUCAGAUACCGUCGUAGUCUUAACCAUAAACUAUGCCGACUAGGAAUCGGGCGUCGUUAUUUUAAUGACUCGCUCGGCGCCUUACGGGAAAC
RNAcentral lists this ribosomal RNA (547 nucleotides) under uncultured Archaeosporales. RNAcentral describes it as "SSU rRNA". It matches the Rfam family "Eukaryotic small subunit ribosomal RNA", at positions 548 to 1098 of the family's 1831-position model. The record is from RNAcentral. Lineage: Eukaryota; Fungi; Glomeromycota; Glomeromycetes; Archaeosporales.